GACGAACGCUGGCGGCGUGCCUAACACAUGCAAGUCGAACGAAGCUCCCCGACCCGAGGCUUCGGCCAAGGGGACGGGAUGACUUAGUGGCGAACGGGUGAGUAACGCGUGAGCAACCUGACCUUAAGAGGGGGAUAACAUCUGGAAACAGAUGCUAAUACCGCGUAAGACCACAUUGCCGCAUGGCAGAGGGGUCAAAGGAGCAAUCCGCUUAAGGAGGGGCUCGCGUCCCAUUAGAUAGUUGGUGAGGUAACGGCUCACCAAGUCAGCGAUGGGUAGCCGAGCUGAGAGGCUGAUCGGCCACACUGGAACUGAGACACGGUCCAGACUCCUACGGGAGGCAGCAGUGGGGAAUAUUGGGCAAUGGGCGAAAGCCUGACCCAGCAACGCCGCGUGAGGGAAGAAGGCUUUCGGGUUGUAAACCUCUGUCAUUCGGGAAGAAGGAAGUGACGGUACCGAAUGAGGAAGCCCCGGCUAACUACGUGCCAGCAGCCGCGGUAAUACGUAGGGGGCGAGCGUUGUCCGGAAUUACUGGGCGUAAAGGGUGCGUAGGUGGCUAAUUAAGUUGGAUGUGAAGUACCCGGGCUUAACUUGGGGGGUGCAUGCAAAACUGGUUGGCUAGAGUGCAGGAGAGGGAAGCGGAAUUCCUAGUGUAGCGGUGAAAUGCGUAGAUAUUAGGAGGAACACCAGUGGCGAAGGCGGCUUUCUGGACUGCAACUGACACUGAGGCACGAAAGCGUGGGGAGCAAACAGGAUUAGAUACCCUGGUAGUCCACGCUGUAAACGAUGAAUACUAGGUGUAGGGGGUAUGAACUCCCCCUGUGCCGGAGCAAACGCAAUAAGUAUUCCGCCUGGGGAGUACGGCCGCAAGGUUGAAACUCAAAGGAAUUGACGG
Molecule: ribosomal RNA, 895 nt
Filed under: uncultured bacterium
Lineage: Bacteria
Description: bacterial SSU rRNA
Rfam family: Bacterial small subunit ribosomal RNA
Source: RNAcentral